RNAcentral lists this ribosomal RNA (252 nucleotides) under uncultured bacterium. RNAcentral describes it as "partial 16S ribosomal RNA". It matches the Rfam family "Bacterial small subunit ribosomal RNA", at positions 524 to 776 of the family's 1533-position model. The record is from RNAcentral.
UACGGAGGAUGCGAGCGUUAUCCGGAUUUAUUGGGUUUAAAGGGUGCGUAGGCGGAUCGUUAAGUCAGUGGUCAAAUUGAGGGGCUCAACCCCUUCCCGCCAUUGAAACUGGCGAUCUUGAGUGGAAGAGAAGUAUGCGGAAUGCGUGGUGUAGCGGUGAAAUGCAUAGAUGUCACGCAGAACCCCGAUUGCGAAGGCAGCAUGCCGGCUUCCGACUGACGCUGAAGCACGAAAGCGUGGGGAUCGAACAGG